RNAcentral lists this ribosomal RNA (465 nucleotides) under uncultured bacterium. RNAcentral describes it as "bacterial SSU rRNA". It matches the Rfam family "Bacterial small subunit ribosomal RNA", at positions 338 to 795 of the family's 1533-position model. The record is from RNAcentral.
CCUACGGGUUGCAGCAGUGGGGAAUAUUGCACAAUGGGCGCAAGCCUGAUGCAGCCAUGCCGCGUGUAUGAAGAAGGCCUUCGGGUUGUAAAGUACUUUCAGCGAGGAGGAAGGCAUUAAGGUUAAUAACCUUGGUGAUUGACGUUACUCGCAGAAGAAGCACCGGCUAACUCCGUGCCAGCAGCCGCGGUAAUACGGAGGGUGCAAGCGUUAAUCGGAAUUACUGGGCGUAAAGCGCACGCAGGCGGUCUGUCAAGUCGGAUGUGAAAUCCCCGGGCUCAACCUGGGAACUGCAUUCGAAACUGGCAGGCUAGAGUCUUGUAGAGGGGGGUAGAAUUCCAGGUGUAGCGGUGAAAUGCGUAGAGAUCUGGAGGAAUACCGGUGGCGAAGGCGGCCCCCUGGACAAAGACUGACGCUCAGGUGCGAAAGCGUGGGGAGCAAACAGGAUUAGAUACCCGUGUAGUC